Peromyscus leucopus (white-footed mouse) is the source of this 332-nucleotide long non-coding RNA. RefSeq lists it as uncharacterized. The record is from RefSeq and is a predicted model, not a curated record. The transcript has 2 exons. Lineage: Eukaryota; Metazoa; Chordata; Mammalia; Rodentia; Cricetidae.
GGUCUCCGCUUCCCUGCUUUUAGGCAACUCUGAGACUAAAGCUACGCCUCACCUACAACCACUUUGGCCAGCCAGUACAGGAGACCUUUGAGGUGGACAACUUGCCUGUGGAGACCUGGCAGUAACUUGCUGUGGCUUGGAUUCUGUAAGCCUUUCUUUACUGUGCAUGACCCCUCCCAUGAUGCAUCUGAUUUUACUCAUAUGUUCAUUCUACAUAGGCACAGGAUGGUAAAUAGAAGAUUUGCCUUAAAAACCCAUCUUGAUCCAAUCAGCUCCCUAUUUUCCAUACUCGGGUAUGUUCUAAAAUGUUUGAAUAAAAACUGUCCACCAAA